CUCCUACGGGAGGCAGCAGUGGGGAAUAUUGGACAAUGGGGGAAACCCUGAUCCAGCCAUGCCGCGUGUGUGAAGAAGGCCCGAGGGUUGUAAAGCACUUUNCAGUUGGGAAAAAGGGUAGUAAGUUAAUANCCUUGCUAUNCUUGAUAUUACCUUCAGAAGAAGCCCCGUAU
Molecule: ribosomal RNA, 173 nt
Filed under: uncultured bacterium
Lineage: Bacteria
Description: partial 16S ribosomal RNA
Rfam family: Bacterial small subunit ribosomal RNA
Source: RNAcentral